AUGCACGCUGGCGGCGUGCCUAAUACAUGCAAGUCGAGCGCACGGACGAGAAGCUUGCUUCUCUGAUGUUAGCGGCGGACGGGUGAGUAACACGUGGAUAACCUACCUAUAAGACUGGGAUAACUUCGGGAAACCGGAGCUAAUACCGGAUAAUAUUUUGAACCGCAUGGUUCAAAAGUGAAAGACGGUCUUGCUGUCACUUAUAGAUGGAUCCGCGCUGCGUUAGCUAGUUGGUAAGGUAACGGCUUACCAAGGCAACGAUGCAUAGCCGACCUGAGAGGGUGAUCGGCCACACUGGAACUGAGACACGGUCCAGACUCCUACGGGAGGCAGCAGUAGGGAAUCUUCCGCAAUGGGCGAAAGCCUGACGGAGCAACGCCGCGUGAGUGAUGAAGGUCUUCGGAUCGUAAAACUCUGUUAUUAGGGAAGAACAUAUGUGUAAGUAACUGUGCACAUCUUGACGGUACCUAAUCAGAAAGCCACGGCUAACUACGUG
This 496-nucleotide ribosomal RNA is filed under the name uncultured bacterium. RNAcentral's name for it is "partial 16S ribosomal RNA". It matches the Rfam family "Bacterial small subunit ribosomal RNA", at positions 29 to 507 of the family's 1533-position model. The record is from RNAcentral.